CCUACGGGAGGCAGCAGUGGGGAAUAUUGCACAAUGGGGGAAACCCUGAUGCAGCGACGCCGCGUGAGUGAAGAAGUAUUUCGGUACGUAAAGCUCUAUCAGCAGGGAAGAAAAUGACGGUACCUGACUAAGAAGCCCCGGCUAACUACGGGCCAGCAGCCGCGGUAAUACGUAGGGGGCAAGCGUUAUCCGGAUUUACUGGGGGUAAAGGGAGCGUAGACGGCAGCGCAAGUCUGGAGUGAAAUCCCAUGGCUUAACCAUGGAACUGCUUUGGAAACUGUGCAGCUAGAGUGCAGGAGAGGUAAGCGGAAUUCCUAGUGUAGCGGUGAAAUGCGUAGAUAUUAGGAGGAACACCAGUGGCGAAGGCGGCUUACUGGACUGUAACUGACGUUGAGGCUCGAAAGCGUGGGGAGCAAACAGGAUUAGAUACCCCAGUAGUC
Molecule: ribosomal RNA, 440 nt
Filed under: uncultured bacterium
Lineage: Bacteria
Description: partial 16S ribosomal RNA
Rfam family: Bacterial small subunit ribosomal RNA
Source: RNAcentral